This 253-nucleotide ribosomal RNA is filed under the name uncultured bacterium. Its description in RNAcentral is "partial 16S ribosomal RNA". It matches the Rfam family "Bacterial small subunit ribosomal RNA", at positions 524 to 776 of the family's 1533-position model. The record is from RNAcentral.
UACAGAGGGUGCAAGCGUUAAUCGGAAUUACUGGGCGUAAAGGGUGCGUAGGUGGUUACGUAAGUUAGGUGUGAAAUUCCUGGGCUUAACCUGGGGACUGCGCCUGAUACUGCGAAGCUAGAGUGUUGUAGAGGAAAGUGGAAUUUCCGGUGUAGCGGUGAAAUUCGUAGAUAUUGGGAAGAACACCAGUGGCGAAGGCGGCUCACUGGCCCGUAACUGACGCUGAGGUGCGAAAGCGUGGGGAGCAAACAGG